GUGAGCAACCUGCCCCGGACUCUGGGAUAAGCGCUGGAAACGGCGUCUAAUACCGGAUAUGAGACGAGACCGCAUGGUCAUCGUUUGGAAAGAUUUUUCGGUCUGGGAUGGGCUCGCGGCCUAUCAGCUUGUUGGUGAGGUAAUGGCUCACCAAGGCGUCGACGGGUAGCCGGCCUGAGAGGGUGACCGGCCACACUGGGACUGAGACACGGCCCAGACUCCUACGGGAGGCAGCAGUGGGGAAUAUUGCACAAUGGGCGGAAGCCUGAUGCAGCAACGCCGCGUGAGGGAUGACGGCCUUCGGGUUGUAAACCUCUUUUAGCAGGGAAGAAGCGAAAGUGACGGUACCUGCAGAAAAAGCGCCGGCUAACUACGUGCCAGCAGCCGCGGUAAUACGUAGGGCGCAAGCGUUAUCC
RNAcentral lists this ribosomal RNA (416 nucleotides) under Microbacterium sp. F180. RNAcentral describes it as "bacterial SSU rRNA". It matches the Rfam family "Bacterial small subunit ribosomal RNA", at positions 117 to 546 of the family's 1533-position model. Lineage: Bacteria; Bacillati; Actinomycetota; Actinomycetes; Micrococcales; Microbacteriaceae. The record is from RNAcentral.